UAGGGAAUCUUCGGCAAUGGGGGCGAAACCCUGACCGAGCAACGCCGCGUGAGUGAAGAAGGUUUUCGGAUCGUAAAGCUCUGUUGUAAGAGAAGAACGUGUGUGAGAGUGGAAAGUUCACACAGUGACGGUAACUUACCAGAAAGGGACGGCUAACUACGUGCCCG
This 167-nucleotide ribosomal RNA is filed under the name uncultured bacterium. RNAcentral describes it as "partial 16S rRNA". It matches the Rfam family "Bacterial small subunit ribosomal RNA", at positions 355 to 511 of the family's 1533-position model. The record is from RNAcentral.